UUCAAGCCAGGCAUGAAGCGUCGCACAGCAGCACACGCACUAACGUACAGGCAGUUUCUUGCGUUUUACUCCCGAUUUGAUUACCGGUGAUUUAAGCCACCAUUUGACGCACCGUUUCUUCCUACUUAAGCUCCACAUCUUCCUCUUCGUUUCCCCUCAAACGGCACCUCCCGAGAGCCCCCAGGCUGCUCGAAUUUUCGCUCGCAUGUCCGCAGUACCGUCGCGGUAAAUCGUCGAUUGCGCGACGGCGCCAUCUUCAUCUGUGAACACGUCCGCGGGACAGUAUACCGGCGAGCGACUGCGCACCAGUGAGAAAGCCCGUACGUUAAACUCGUCGUCGAUUUCAGCUCGUACACCACUUCGCGGACGCCAAGAACCGCUGCAACGCGACUCCAUCCACGAACAAGUGCAACGCCAGCAUCAACGAAGUUCUUUUUCCUAUUGUGGUUAUGCUGAUUGCAACGAAUGUUUCUGCGAAGAGUGUACAAACUCGUCCUCUCACCAAGGCAAGUGACACACACCAAAUGUCCCAGUUUUAAUUCUUGCACCGUAGUGUUUUUAUAGUAGACAUGUCUAGGGUUUAUGCUUUAUGCCUGCUAAUAAAUCCUAGUAGUUUAGCUACACCACUCCUAGACUCCUUUAGCCGCCAUUAAAUUUAGUUGUUACCUGCUAUGCCAUGGAAAAUGUUUUGAUAGAGGUUAAGGAAAAACAACUAAAGUUUAAUGAAUUACCUGGGUGAAUGGUGGAGUUAUGGAGAGGGUGGCUGUAUCAGGGGGCAAGACCCUGGUGCUAGUGCACACUUGCGGAAAGUCACCCAGGCUUAAAGAGAUUGUAGACAAACCUUGCUCAUUAGCUUCACGUACAACCACAUGCUACUAUGACUCUGGCUUGACAAAGUAUGUUGUAUGAACCCGGAUCCUAGGGGCCAGGUGGUGGUAGAGGGAUACUGUAGGUGUAACGUGGCCCUUAGGGAAUGGUUCGGGUGAUUGCACACAGAAGGUCUCGGCCACGGUCUGCACCUGUCCUUUGAGCAAAAUGUGCAUCGAGGUAGAAGGAUUGACCUGGCCAUGUGGGUAAAGGUGUACAACCUCUCGAGAGUGUAAAUCUAAGUACUUAGCCGUGUCCCCGGUUAUGGACAACUUGAGCGAACUGACAAGUCUUUGUUCGAAGAUCUCCUCAUCCCAAUUUCUUAAAUAAAAUUUGAAUGGGUGAACAAGGGUAGGAAGGUACAUUGGGGCUUUACCAAUGUUACUGUUAAUUGGUACAUUGGGGAUUUACCAAUGUUACUAUUAAUUAGAUUGAAAGAAAAUAUUUUGAUAAAUGAUAGGGAAAAAUUGGCUUUAUGCAAAAUGAACCUGAGCUCUACCAGCCAGAUGUGCACGUAGGUAUAGGAUGCAUUUUGAGUCCACAAAAGUGUCCUUGCCAAUA
Non-coding RNA from Lolium perenne, 1428 nucleotides. Lineage: Eukaryota; Viridiplantae; Streptophyta; Magnoliopsida; Poales; Poaceae. The record is from RefSeq and is a predicted model, not a curated record.